UUCUGACCGUAAACGAUGCCAACUAGCGAUCCGCCGGCGGAUUCCAAACGCCCUGGUGGGGAGCUUCCCGGAAACGAUUAAGUCUUCCGGUUCCGGGGGAAGUAUGGUUGCAAAGCUGAAACUUAAAGGAAUUGACGGAAGGGCACCACCAGGAGUGGAGCCUGCGGCUUAAUUUGACUCAACACGGGGAAACUCACCCGGCCCGGACACCGCGAGGAUUGACAGAUUGAUAGCUCUUUCAUGAUUCGGUGGAUGGUGGUGCAUGGCCGUUCUUAGUUCGUGGAGUGAUUUGUCUGGUUUAUUCCGAUAACGAGCGAGACUCUAGCCUACUAACUAGUCCGCAUGCUCCCAACUGCAUGCCACCCAGGAGACUUCUUAGAGGGAUUUUCGGCGUUUCAGCCGCACGAAACUGAGCAAUAACAGGUCUGUGAUGCCCUUAGAUGUCCGGGGCUGCACGCGCGCUACACUGGCGAAAUCAGCGUGCCUGUCCUCUCGCGAAAGCGACUGGUAAACCGGUGAAAAUUCGCCGUGCUUGGGAUCGGAAAUUGCAAUUAUUUUCCGUGAACGAGGAAUUCCAAGUAAGUGCGAGUCAUCAACUCGCGUUG
This 605-nucleotide ribosomal RNA is filed under the name unidentified nematode. RNAcentral's name for it is "SSU rRNA". It matches the Rfam family "Eukaryotic small subunit ribosomal RNA", at positions 1024 to 1643 of the family's 1831-position model. Lineage: Eukaryota; Metazoa; Nematoda. The record is from RNAcentral.